AGAGUUUGAUCCUGGCUCAGGACGAACGCUGACGGCGUGCUUUAGACAUGCAAGUCGAACGAGAACACCCUUCGGGGCUAGUAAAGUGGCGAACGGGUGAGUAACACGUGGGCAACCUGCCCCUCGCAGGGGGACAACCGGAGGAAACUCCGGCUAAUACCCCGUAAGCUCUCAGAGUCGAGUGACUCUGGGAGGAAAGGUAGCUUCGGCCAUCCGGCGAGGGAUGGGCCCGCGGUACAUUAGCUAGUUGGUGGGGUAACGGCCCACCAAGGCGACGAUGUAUAGCUGGUCUGAGAGGAUGAUCAGCCACACUGGGACUGAGACACGGCCCAGACUCCUACGGGAGGCAGCAGUCGGGAAUCUUGCGCAAUGGGCGAAAGCCUGACGCAGCAACGCCGUGUGGGUGAGGAAGGCCUUAGGGUCGUAAAGCUCUGUUGUUGGGGACGAAGGGCGAAGGGUUAAUAGCCCCUAGCUUGACGAUACCCUUCGAGGAAGCCCCGGCUAACUACGUGCCAGCAGCCGCGGUAAUACGUAGGGGGCGAGCGUUGUGCGGAAUUAUUGGGCGUAUAGAGCGUGUAGGCGGUUUGGUAAGUCCGCCGUGAAAAUCCAGGGCUCANGGCUGGGCGUGCGGUGGAAACUGCCAUGGCUAGACGAUGGUAGAGGCGAGUGGAAUCCCUGNGUANCGGUGAAAUGCGCCAAUAUCGGGAAGAGCUCAUUACCUAAGGCGGCUCGCUGGGCCGUUCCNGACCCUGAUACCCCAAAGCAUUGGGAGCCACCUGG
RNAcentral lists this ribosomal RNA (780 nucleotides) under uncultured bacterium. RNAcentral's name for it is "bacterial SSU rRNA". It matches the Rfam family "Bacterial small subunit ribosomal RNA", at positions 8 to 776 of the family's 1533-position model. The record is from RNAcentral.